Molecule: long non-coding RNA, 710 nt
Organism: Lutra lutra (Eurasian river otter)
Lineage: Eukaryota; Metazoa; Chordata; Mammalia; Carnivora; Mustelidae
Exons: 3
Source: RefSeq, a predicted model, not a curated record
UUGCAUAACAUUUCUGGGCCUCCAUUUCUUGAGUUGUGAAGUUGUUUCCAUCAUAAAGAACAAGGACUACGAACAUGGCACCAGGGAGACAAACCAGCAGGCAGUAGAGAUUUUUCUAAAAGAACUGAAUUCAGAAAGACAUAAAGAGGUUAACCAGGUAGAGAAGGAAAAGAGAAGAGAGAAAUCCUACCAGAGGCAACUAUAUGUGCAAAGGUCCUGAGGCCCGAACUCCUACAAAUCAGGACGACCAGAUCCCAGAAAACAAGGAAGCGGGCUGCAAAAUGAGGAAAUGAAAAUGAAGGAGUAGGGCGGGCCAAACGGAUAAUUUGGAGCAUCUGAAGAGACACGCCUGGGGCUCCAGGGGUGCCCCUGCUGUUCCCUCAUUACUGAAACACUGAAGCGAAGCCAGCAGAAGGGGAGAAAUCACCCACACCCCAAGGCAUGGCAGCUGAGAAAAAGAGAGCAUCAGUGAAGAGGGGGGGAUCGAUUUCACACGAGGCCCCUGGCCGGAGGGGCGGCGAGCCAGUGCCAGGCCAUUUGUCUGGGGACUGCAGAACUGGGGGAGGGAUCUCCGCCUGACCCAGGAGUCCUCAAGCUCUCGCCACCUCACGCGCCCAUCCCAGCUUUAUGGAUCAACAAACCCGUCUUUCAGUCAACAGGAACUUUGUGAGCUAAACAACAGAUGCCACAGGGCCUAGAAGGCAAAUAAA